RNAcentral lists this ribosomal RNA (497 nucleotides) under uncultured bacterium. Its description in RNAcentral is "partial 16S ribosomal RNA". It matches the Rfam family "Bacterial small subunit ribosomal RNA", at positions 28 to 507 of the family's 1533-position model. The record is from RNAcentral.
GAUGAACGCUGGCGGCGUGCCUAAUACAUGCAAGUCGAGCGAACAGAUGAGGAGCUUGCUCCUCUGACGUUAGCGGCGGACGGGUGAGUAACACGUGGAUAACCUACCUAUAAGACUGGGAUAACUUCGGGAAACCGGAGCUAAUACCGGAUAAUAUAUUGAACCGCAUGGUUCAAUAGUGAAAGACGGUUUUGCUGUCACUUAUAGAUGGAUCCGCGCCGCAUUAGCUAGUUGGUAAGGUAACGGCUUACCAAGGCAACGAUGCGUAGCCGACCUGAGAGGGUGAUCGGCCACCCUGGAACUGAGACACGGUCCAGACUCCUACGGGAGGCAGCAGUAGGGAAUCUUCCGCAAUGGGCGAAAGCCUGACGGAGCAACACCGCGUGAGUGAUGAAGGUCUUCGGAUCGUAAAACUCUGUUAUUAGGGAAGAACAAAUGUGUAAGUAACUAUGCACGUCUUGACGGUACCUAAUCAGAAAGCCACGGCUAACUACGUG